GCCGGCAGCUAGCUCUCUGCAACUCUCACAUGGUCGCCCACUGAAGCUAAGCAGGGCUGCGCCCGGUUAGUACCUGGAUGGGAGACCACAUAGGAAAGCUAGGUUGCUGCCGGAA
Molecule: ribosomal RNA, 115 nt
Filed under: Danio rerio (zebrafish)
Lineage: Eukaryota; Metazoa; Chordata; Actinopteri; Cypriniformes; Danionidae
Source: RNAcentral